AUAGUACAUACAUGUUAUUAAAACUUGAACUAAUGCACUGUGAGUCUUAUAAAUUGCUUACAUACCUCACCGAUUUCUGCAUGUCUGGAAAACGCUCGGAUUUAGUUCCUGUCUCCGCCUCCCAAAAUGUCUAGUGUAUUCGGAUUGGUCAGAUGACUACUCAACUGUUAUUGGUCAACUGGGUUCGGCGUGUGUUUGAAAGGUUACACCCCUGACUACGCGUGGGUUUUCCGGUUCUGACUGAGAGUCACAGGCAACGUAAACAAGCGCUAUAUUUCUCUAUAAACGAUGGUGUCUGUACUGCCUUACCACUUCAAGCUCGAUCCAGAGAGUUCAGACGGCCGUUACGAUAUAAACGAUCUCCGUCAAUGAACGCGAUUGGAUUUAACUUUUUUAGGUGUCCUUAGCUCUGCCAGAAUGCUAAACGAAGACGAAAAUGUGUUGCAAAGACAUCCAAAAGGUUUUAAGGAGAAUGCAACAGGUUCCAGGGCCUCUUACCUGCGUGAUUCAUCAUCCAGGUUUUGCACAAAUUGUCUAAAUCCCUACACACAGAACAUUUAUUGUACCGACUAUAAGCCUUUGAGGUGCAGGACUAGACUAUCUAUUCAGAUAAAUGGCAUAUCAAAGCUUUGUCAGCUGGUGCUAUCUAAGACGACACUAUAAGGUUAUCAUCCUGUCGUGUGUUGUUCUCCAGAUAUGCUUGGAGCUUCCUGAUCAGAUCGGUCACAAUUUUGGCUUUCGACGACCCCUGCACUGAAGAUGGCAUGCAAUCACGUCCUCCUUUGAAGGUCUCUCAAACUGUGAUGCCAGGUCCAUUGGAAUCGGGGUUUCCUUCAGCUUAUCUUCAAAUACCUCAUCAAACACAAGCCUGAUCACAUCAUCCACAUAACUGUACAAAUAUUGCAGUCAAUAAAUCUUUUGUUUUGAUCAUUUAUUUCCCUGCUUCAUACAUUAAGUUUUUAAUUAUGAAUGUAUUUGAAAUAAAACAUUACUGCUUA
Long non-coding RNA from Paramisgurnus dabryanus, 998 nucleotides. RefSeq lists it as uncharacterized. The record is from RefSeq and is a predicted model, not a curated record. NCBI's taxonomy places the organism in Eukaryota, Metazoa, Chordata, Actinopteri, Cypriniformes, Cobitidae.